RNAcentral lists this ribosomal RNA (473 nucleotides) under uncultured bacterium. Its description in RNAcentral is "bacterial SSU rRNA". It matches the Rfam family "Bacterial small subunit ribosomal RNA", at positions 27 to 518 of the family's 1533-position model. The record is from RNAcentral.
GGACGAACGCUGGCGGCGUGCCUAACACAUGCAAGUCGAGCGAGGAGAUCCUUCGGGAUGAUCCUAGCGGCGGACGGGUGAGUAACACGUGGGCAACCUGCCUCAUAGAGAGGAAUAGCCUUCCGAAAGGGAGAUUAAUACCUCAUAACAUUGCAGUUUCGCAUGGAACAGCAAUUAAAGGAGCAAUCCGCUAUGAGAUGGGCCCGCGGCGCAUUAGCUAGUUGGUGAGGUAACGGCUCACCAAGGCGACGAUGCGCAGCCGACCUGAGAGGGUGAUCGGCCACAUUGGGACUGAGACACGGCCCAGACUCCUACGGGAGGCAGCAGUGGGGAAUAUUGCACAAUGGGGGAAACCCUGAUGCAGCCAACGCCGCGUGAGUGAUGACGGCCUUCGGGUUGUAAAGCUCUGUCUUCAGGGACGAUAAUGACGGUACCUGAGAGGAAGCCACGGCUAACUACGUGCCAGCAGCAGC